RNAcentral lists this unclassified non-coding RNA (338 nucleotides) under Hevea brasiliensis (rubber tree). The record is from RNAcentral. Lineage: Eukaryota; Viridiplantae; Streptophyta; Magnoliopsida; Malpighiales; Euphorbiaceae.
AAGAUCUAAGAUCAGCUAUUUCACAUAAGCACUGGCAGACCACUGGAAGGAUUACCAAGCGAUUGGCAGAGUGAUUUUACAGGUGCUAAUUGUUGAAACAGAAUGAUUUUAUUGCUCGAUCUAAUCCGUGGAAUAAAGUUUUAUCAUCAACCGGACCCCUCCACAGCUCCUUCGAUGCACCGCCAUUAAUUGCAGAGAAGGGUCCAAGGGGAACGCAAGAUGACAACGGCGAAUCCAAGCAAAGAAAAAGCUGACGGGUAGAUGAAAGCAUACCUCUGGUACACCCUAAUCUUGUCAGGCGUCAAAACCCGCUGUUGUUGUUCCAAGUUGGAGAGAGA